GACGAACGCUGGCGGCGUGCCUAAUACAUGCAAGUAGAACGCUGAAGAGAGGAGCUUGCUCUUCUUGGAUGAGUUGCGAACGGGUGAGUAACGCGUAGGUAACCUGCCUUGUAGCGGGGGAUAACUAUUGGAAACGAUAGCUAAUACCGCAUAACAAUGGAUGACACAUGUCAUUUAUUUGAAAGGGACAAUUGCUCCACUACAAGAUGGACCUGCGUUGUAUUAGCUAGUAGGUGAGGUAACGGCUCACCUAGGCGACGAUACAUAGCCGACCUGAGAGGGUGAUCGGCCACACUGGGACUGAGACACGGCCCAGACUCCUACGGGAGGCAGCAGUAGGGAAUCUUCGGCAAUGGGGGCAACCCUGACCGAGCAACGCCGCGUGAGUGAAGAAGGUUUUCGGAUCGUAAAGCUCUGUUGUAAGUCAAGAACGAGUGUGAGAGUGGAAAGUUCACACUGUGACGGUAGCUUACCAGAAAGGGACGGCUAACUACGUGCCAG
This 501-nucleotide ribosomal RNA is filed under the name uncultured bacterium. Its description in RNAcentral is "bacterial SSU rRNA". It matches the Rfam family "Bacterial small subunit ribosomal RNA", at positions 28 to 511 of the family's 1533-position model. The record is from RNAcentral.